This 569-nucleotide ribosomal RNA is filed under the name Clostridioides difficile. RNAcentral's name for it is "bacterial LSU rRNA". It matches the Rfam family "Bacterial large subunit ribosomal RNA", at positions 1651 to 2231 of the family's 2925-position model. Lineage: Bacteria; Bacillati; Bacillota; Clostridia; Peptostreptococcales; Peptostreptococcaceae. The record is from RNAcentral.
AAACCGACACAGGUGGGUGAGGAGAGUAUCCUAAGGCCAGCGAGAGAACUGUUGUUAAGGAACUCGGCAAAAUGACCCCGUAACUUAGGGAUAAGGGGUGCCACCAUCAGGUGGCCGCAGAGAAUAGGCCCAAGCGACUGUUUACCAAAAACAUAGGUUUCUGCUAAGUCGCAAGACGAUGUAUAGGAGCUGACGCCUGCCCGGUGCUGGAAGGUUAAGGGGAUCUGUUAGAGCAAUCGAAGCAGUGAACUUAAGCCCCAGUAAACGGCGGCCGUAACUAUAACGGUCCUAAGGUAGCGAAAUUCCUUGUCGGGUAAGUUCCGACCCGCACGAAAGGCGUAACGAUUUGGGCACUGUCUCAACAACAGACUCGGUGAAAUUGUAAUUCCGGUGAAGAUGCCGGAUACCUGCGACAGGACGGAAAGACCCCAUGGAGCUUUACUGUAGCUUGACAUUGGGUCUUGGUACUACAUGUACAGGAUAGGUGGGAGGCUUUGAAACCAGGACGCCAGUUUUGGCGGAGCCAUCCUUGGGAUACCACCCUUGUAGUACUGGGACUCUAACCAUAG